CAGGUACCAGUAAGGACCACCUCCAGGUCUCCAGUGCUGUCGCGCCGAGAGUCCCCUCUGCCCCAGCAGCCCGGGAUCGCGGCCGGACCGAGGAUCGCUGCAGGUGUGGAGCAGCGGCCUCUGUGGGACCGGGUGGAGAAGCUGCAGCCGCGACCCGGCAGCGGCAGCUCCUCCGGAUCCUCCAACUCCAGCUCUCAGGCUAGCCCUGGGGACCGCUUCAGGCCACGCUGUGAGUCCCCUGCUUCCUCCAAAUCUGAAGGAUCGCCUCUCCAGCGGCCUGAAAAUGUUCCAAAGAAACCAGAUGAAAAGAACCUGGCCAGGCCGACUCGACCAGCUGUAAGUCCCAUUCAUAAAGUGCCGGUUAAACUUGUUUGAUGCUGAAUAGGUGAAAACGGUGUUGUGUUUUUCUCUUAUUUUCCACUACUCUAAUUAUUCAACCACCUGGUGAAUCCAAUGGUUGUUGGGGAACCUCUUAGGGUGAUGCGGUAAGCCAGUUACAUGAGAUUACAUAACCACACCUUUGCUAUGCUUGCACCAUUGCCCCUCUCACUGCAUUAUAUGAUAAUGGCCUUUUGUCCUUGGAUGGUUACGGUCUUCCCUGCCUGUGAUCUAUUGCCUCCUGCUGGCGUCUUUCCUCUUGCCUGCACAGUUCCUUAUCACUUUAUUGCUUGUCCACAC
Molecule: long non-coding RNA, 678 nt
Organism: Notothenia coriiceps (black rockcod)
Lineage: Eukaryota; Metazoa; Chordata; Actinopteri; Perciformes; Nototheniidae
Exons: 3
Source: RefSeq, a predicted model, not a curated record